AGAGUUUGAUCCUGGCUCAGAUUGAACGCUGGCGGCAGGCCUAACACAUGCAAGUCGAGCGGUAGCACAGAGAGCUUGCUCUCGGGUGACGAGCGGCGGACGGGUGAGUAAUGUCUGGGAAACUGCCUGAUGGAGGGGGAUAACUACUGGAAACGGUAGCUAAUACCGCAUAACGUCGCAAGACCAAAGUGGGGGACCCUUCGGGCCUCAUGCCAUCAGAUGUGCCCAGAUGGGAUUAGCUAGUAGGUGGGGUAAUGGCUCACCUAGGCGACGAUCCCUAGCUGGUCUGAGAGGAUGACCAGCCACACUGGAACUGAGACACGGUCCAGACUCCUACGGGAGGCAGCAGUGGGGAAUAUUGCACAAUGGGCGCAAGCCUGAUGCAGCCAUGCCGCGUGUGUGAAGAAGGCCUUCGGGUUGUAAAGCACUUUCAGCGGGGAGGAAGGCGUUAAGGUUAAUAACCUUGGCGAUUGACGUUACCCGCAGAAGAAGCACCGGCUAACUCCGUGCCAGCAGCCGC
RNAcentral lists this ribosomal RNA (520 nucleotides) under uncultured Klebsiella sp. Its description in RNAcentral is "bacterial SSU rRNA". It matches the Rfam family "Bacterial small subunit ribosomal RNA", at positions 8 to 518 of the family's 1533-position model. Lineage: Bacteria; Pseudomonadati; Pseudomonadota; Gammaproteobacteria; Enterobacterales; Enterobacteriaceae. The record is from RNAcentral.